This 286-nucleotide ribosomal RNA is filed under the name Vreelandella aquamarina. Its description in RNAcentral is "Halomonas aquamarina partial 16S ribosomal RNA". It matches the Rfam family "Bacterial small subunit ribosomal RNA", at positions 60 to 348 of the family's 1533-position model. Lineage: Bacteria; Pseudomonadati; Pseudomonadota; Gammaproteobacteria; Oceanospirillales; Halomonadaceae. The record is from RNAcentral.
UGCAGUCGAGCGGUACAGAUCCAGCUUGCUGGAUGCUGACGAGCGGCGGACGGGUGAGUAAUGCAUAGGAAUCUGCCCGGUAGUGGGGGAUAACCUGGGGAAACCCAGGCUAAUACCGCAUACGUCCUACGGGAGAAAGGGGGCUUCGGCUCCCGCUAUCGGAUGAGCCUAUGUCGGAUUAGCUAGUUGGUGAGGUAACGGCUCACCAAGGCCACGAUCCGUAGCUGGUCUGAGAGGAUGAUCAGCCACAUCGGGACUGAGACACGGCCCGAACUCCUACGGGAGG